RNAcentral lists this ribosomal RNA (368 nucleotides) under uncultured organism. RNAcentral's name for it is "bacterial SSU rRNA". It matches the Rfam family "Bacterial small subunit ribosomal RNA", at positions 526 to 896 of the family's 1533-position model. The record is from RNAcentral.
CGGAGGAUGCAAGCGUUAUCCGGAUUCAUUGGGUUUAAAGGGUGCGUAGGUGGCUUUUUAAGUCAGUGGUGAAAUCCUGCCGCUUAACGGUAGAAUUGCCAUUGAUACUGAAGAGCUUGAGUACAGUUGAGGUAAGCGGAAUGUGUAGUGUAGCGGUGAAAUGCUUAGAUAUUACACAGAACACCAAUUGCGAAGGCAGCUUACUAAACUGUCACUGACGCUGAUGCACGAAAGCGUGGGGAGCGAACAGGAUUAGAUACCCUGGUAGUCCACGCCGUAAACGAUGAUCACUCGCUGUAUGCGAUACACAGUAUGCGGCCAAGCGAAAGCAUUAAGUGAUCCACCUGGGGAGUACGAUCGCAAGGUUG